RNAcentral lists this long non-coding RNA (238 nucleotides) under Anas platyrhynchos (mallard). RNAcentral describes it as "lncRNA (ENSAPLG00020014914.1)". The record is from RNAcentral. Lineage: Eukaryota; Metazoa; Chordata; Aves; Anseriformes; Anatidae.
GUCCCAGAAGCUGGAGAAGCAGGAGAGGACCACCAUGAAGCUCCAGAAGCAGCUCAGAGCCUAUGCGAAGCAGAUCCAGGACUUCACAGUGAAGAGAGAGACCACCGGGCUGGGGCAGGAGCCAGCAGCGUCCCAAGCAGCCCCAUCCCCACCGGGGCUGUCCCAGGCCAUGCUGGCGUGGAGGAUGGAGGACGAAGGGCGCAUCAUCAAGGCCGUCAUCACAGAAGCACAGCGAUGA